Paramacrobiotus metropolitanus is the source of this 663-nucleotide long non-coding RNA. RefSeq lists it as uncharacterized. The record is from RefSeq and is a predicted model, not a curated record. Lineage: Eukaryota; Metazoa; Tardigrada; Eutardigrada; Parachela; Macrobiotidae. The transcript is spliced from 3 exons.
UUAGUCUGCUUUUCAGCAGCUCCCGGGCUGCGACAGCCAAUUUUGCGCUCGGUUAAACUCUUAUGACUUACAUGCUUACGUUAUCUUAAAGUAGCAGCCGUGACCUUUCCGGACUAUUACGCCAAUCCCGAUCGGUUCAUCACGGGGAAAAUUUCAGCGGAGCAGUUUAUCAUGGAAAGUUUCCUGGCGCGGCGCAGUUGAAUCGCUACUGCAACCAUCGCUACAUGGACUGAGCUCGGGAAAAGGGAUUUCUUCUCGCAGAAUCGGGAUGACGGCAGGACGCAAGGGAUGAACUGAAUUCAGGGAGCCAAUUACGUGGCCAACGAGCGUUUUACCGAACUUCAUGCUUGCGUGAUACGCAACAGUGCUGUUCUGGUGUUGUUUUUUGGCAGUAAAGUCACCAUAUCAUUGUUGUUCAAACGCCCUUUUUGUUGAUAGAGCGCCGUCAUCGCGAUUCUGCGAGAAGAAAUCACGUCUUCCUGAACCUCUAUUUUUUGUUUAAUUACUCGCAAAGUUGCUAUACGUAUUUGUCUAACUGUUUUAUAUGCGCGAAUAAAUUUGUAAAAACAAUAAACAUUCCCGCCAAUCCGAUGAAUACGGUGCUGUACAGAUACAGUUGCGCUAUGACAAGAAAUCGAAACAAAAACACCUCCUUCGUGUUGA